GGCCUGGGAGUGCAGUUGACUCCUGUCUGCCUCCCGACCAUGCCUGGAACAGAGGAUGGAUGCACUCCCAUGAGGCUCAGAGAGGAAUAAAGAUGUAGAAGAUGGCCAGCACCCGGGUCCGCUGAUCCCUCACGAAGAGGUCGCCCAAGACAGUGGGCGCAAUGGUGGAGUAGCUGGCAGUGCCUGUGCCCACGGCUCCUCGGAACAGGAAGAAGAGCCAGGAAUACUGGGCAAGCAGGCACAAGAACAGGUAAGCCCUUAGGAAUUAGCGACUGAAUUAAUGAAUACGUUUGUUAUUCUGUGAAGACAAAGAAACCGACACGUUUUUGCACGACUUUCCACAUGGAUAAGUACCAUCACUGCUUCUGUUCCUUAAAUAAAUCGCC
Molecule: long non-coding RNA, 386 nt
Organism: Pteropus alecto (black flying fox)
Lineage: Eukaryota; Metazoa; Chordata; Mammalia; Chiroptera; Pteropodidae
Exons: 3
Source: RefSeq, a predicted model, not a curated record